Non-coding RNA from Nothobranchius furzeri (turquoise killifish), 4541 nucleotides. NCBI's taxonomy places the organism in Eukaryota, Metazoa, Chordata, Actinopteri, Cyprinodontiformes, Nothobranchiidae. The record is from RefSeq and is a predicted model, not a curated record.
AAAAACAAACAUUUUUGGUUCCUCAUCAUGGAGUUCAACUGGAGAAGUGUGUGUGUGUGUGUGUGUGUGUGUGUGUGUGUGUGUGUGUGUGUGUGUGUGUGUGUGUGUGUGUGUGUGUGUGUAAACCCUGACAGUGUGCAGGCUGUUUGUGGGAGGCAGGUGCUAGUGAAUGGAAUGCAUGUGAUUGUAUGAACAGGUUAAGCUCUAUUUCAGUCUCUAUAUUAAAACUUGUAUUCAAAACUGAUUAUAGUGUUUCAGAAAAAAAAAUACAGAAUAAAGUAAAACAACACAGCACAAGUCCCAAAAUAAAAUCGCUGCCUUUAAUGUCACGUUUGUCUGAAAGCUUCCUCAAAGUCAUUUUACGUAGUUUACGGUUUUAACGUAGCAUCUACUUCAUUUAUGCCAAGUUGGGUACAGACGCAGGAGAACUCAACACUGCCCCCUGGUCGCAGCCUUUGGUAUAACAGCUGUUCCGUCUGAGCAGAAUGGAUCAGAAAUCGAUCUGCGCAGGGCCGGCUUUGGCGACAGGCGACACAGGCGGCCGCCUGGGGUGCCAUCUGAUGGAUAGGGCGCAAAAUAAAAAAAAAAAAAAAGUUUAUUACAUUUAUGUUUGUUAUGUGAAAUGCACUCUCUACAUACUCAAAAUUCCCCUCUGAAAUGACAUGAAAUUAAAACAUCAAUAUUUAAAUUCUAAUGAUCUGUCUGCGUGACGAGCUCCCGCUUGGGCCACCGCUCCGAUGCAUUUGACCGUUAAGGGUGCCGUAGAUCACGUGCGUGGGUAGCGCUGUAGAAGGACAUCCUGUUGUCGUCACGUUUAAACUUUUGGUAUUUUACGAUGAAAAGAACACCUAAGCCAUCGGGAUCAGCAUUCCGAAAGCGAAGGAAGGAGGAAGGAAAAAACGGGCCCAAAGCAGAGGUAUGUGGACUUUAUAAAUUUGGCAAAGGAACUUUUUGUGUUACCAUUGUAGCUAACUGCCUCUCCUGCCACGCACGGACCCUCGCUAGCUGUUUACAUACACAAUACAGUAUCUCAUAACUUUAACCAAUUAAUUUUACUUUUGAAUCGUCGUGUCCAGAUGCAGUGAGACAAUAUCUGCAGCCACACAGGCACCUGUGGACACCACGGGGGCGGGACUGUCUUCUACACCUGUUGAGUCUCAUUGUGAUGACGAAGAACGUAAGAUCAUCUGCGGUCCUCUUCUACCAACUAAAUAACGCCAGCGUCAUAAACCACGUGUCCCAGGCAGGGCACCGUAGUAGAAGAGCAGUAGUGGUGCACGUAGGUGCGUGCGCAUGCAAUGUUCUUUAUGUCCUUUAUGACGUCACGCACAGCUGCCUGUAAAUAGCUCAAAGCAGCUCUUAAACUCACUUCACACCAGAUACUCGACGGAGUAACAGUUAAGACUCAGCUUAGAACAACAUGUCUACUUUUGACAACAUGAGUGAAAAUAUGAAUGUUGAAGCUCUUCUCAGAAUGCCUCGACCAGCUCUGAAAGAUGAACUUUUGAGAUUUAUGGCUGAAAAUAAAACAAUGCAAGAGAAGCUCUUCACAAUGAAGAAUAAACAUGAAGACAAUAUUUCUGCAGUCACCUCAGAAUUGAAACAAUGUCAUCACGACCAAUUGUUAGAGAAAGAGAAACAAAUUAAUUUACUUAAGGAUGACGUUAGGAAGAAAGACAAAAAAAUAUUGAAAUUACAAGACGAAUAUCGAAUGUUAAGGAUAGAUUUGGAAAAGGAACUCAUCAAAGUUAAGCAACAGAGAGACGCCGUUGGACUACUGGAGUUUGAAAAUCAUGAUUUACAAAACAAGAUUACUUUUCUGACCAAAGAAAACGAGGAACUGUUGAAAAAUAAACGCGCGUUAGAUAUUAGAAUGAAUCACAUGGACAGAUGUCACACUAAGGCCCAAACCAAGAUUUUAGAACUAGAAGAACAAUUACAAAAUGAAACUACCAGCCGCGUCCAGGCAGAAACAUUGAUCAAGAUGUUGACGCCUGUUGGAUAAAAAUUGUGGUAAUCAAACAGAGUUUAACAUCGUUAUUUACAUUUAAAUUAGUAAUGCCUCCCUCCUGCAGCUAAUCAAGGCCAGACUGGAUGUCUCCAUGGUCCAGUGUUGCCAGAUCCAAAAUCCCACAAUAUCGUACAGAGAGGCCUAAAUUAUCGUUUUUCAGUACAAAUUAUCGUACAUUAUAAAUUUGAUAAUAACGUUCUAUAAACGACUUCUCACUCCAUUAUAAUAUAACAAAGAAGGUGUUUUAUAUUGCCCUGUUUAAAUAAACAUAUUUAAAACCAGUAAUAUAAUGCCUAUAAACGUGCCACAUUAUAUAACCUUACAGUUUCUCGCAAGAGUAGGCCCUAUCGAUGUGAUUGGGCUAUUUAUUGUACAGAUCCAGAGUCAGUUUUUGUAAUAGACACAAUAGCAUAAGCACUGAGGUGAAAUCUGACUUCAAAACAGUUUAAAUUAUGUAAUGGACUUGGGAAAGCCACAGCAAAAGACGGUGUUACUAGGUGCAAUGUGAAAUUAUCGUACAUUUGAGGAUUUUUGAAACUAUUGAUCGUACAUCGUACAGAGCCCAAAAUUAUGGUACAAAUACGAUAAUUAUCGUACAUCUGGCAACACUGCCACGGUCCUGCUGUGAAACCUCUUUGAAGUAUUCCCUUUUGUCUUCCGUGAUAAGUAGGUGUGGUUAUCUCUGGUGAUGUGAUUCCUAAUAAAAGCUCUCGACAGCUUUACCUCUGUGUGAGAACAAACCGCCUCUGACUCUGGUGUGUAUGUUUCACCCUUUGCAAAGUUGAAUUUGUUGAUUGAUUGUAUGCUGAUUAUAAUUAAGCAAAUUAUUAAUCUAAUCCCUCUGUGUAUGCUCUGACUUUCUUUGAGGUAAUUUUGGGAGUAAUAUAAAAUUAUCCAACAACGCCUUUCAAACAUAUAGCCAACUAUUUGGAAAUCGAAAAUGAGUCACUGAAAGAUGAGAUACACAAACUAAAAAAACAAAUCUGCAGAACGCAUCAACCAGAUUCAUCUUUUGACUGAAAAAACCAAUGAGCAGCAACUGGAACUUAACUUUCACCAUGAAUACUGUAGAAAUAGAUGACAAGCCUCCCAGAUACAUAAGGAUGACCAGAUGGUAGAACUAAAAACAGAGUUACACACUUCUCAGAUGAACUGUCGGACAGCCCAAAACGAACUUAGCAAAUACAAGCAUUUAAACAAUGUCCUUUCAGAUAAAUUGUCAAAUGCCAAUCAAGAAAUACAUAAAUUAGAAAAAGAUAUCCAUAAAUCUGAACAUACGAAGUGGCUGGAUUCAAGAAAUCAGGAUCAGAAGACUCUUAGAGAUAAGUGUGAUGCUUUGGAGAAACAACUGCAGCAUACGAAGAUAAAAGUUGGCACAUGCAACGGAGCAAAUGAAACGCUCAGCUAAUGAAGACAGAAUAAGAACUAAUGAAAUGAAAAUGUUAGAAGAAGAUAAAAGAGAAUUAUCAAAGCAGCUGGAGUUGAAGACAGCACAGAUUAUUGAACUAAAUGGUAAAUUACAACAGACUAAUCAUAAGUUAGAAACCAACAAAACGUUUGCAACACACGAAAAAAGGCUUCUUGAACGGCGCUUGAGAAAAAAUGAGAAUGUUCCUGUGGCAAAUCCGUCUUCUGCUCAGGAAGGAUGCUCGACUCGUUUCAGGAAUCACGUUGUCUUGCCCUCUAAAGCACCCAAAAGGAAAGAUAAUCCCCUUCCUCCGAUAAAUAAGUAAGUCCCUCUAGAUUUCACGCAACACAUCAUGAGAAGACUAACAAAAACACCUUAGAACAUCUCUGAAUGAGGUCCGACUAAUCAUUAGAUAGCUAGAUGAUGUUAGAACACAUCACUACUUAGACAAAUCAUGUGUUGAAAACUUAGUGAUGUCAUAAAGGAAAAGGGGAAGUGCCAUAGUUAAAGGAAUUAGAUGAAGGACUUGGGAUAUGCAAAAACAGGUUAAAAUUGGGAUUUCUCUCUCUCUCUCUCAGGAGGUUUAGGCUCUAUGCUGCAAGAGAUCUCUAACCAGAUAGAAAGUUCACUCUGAAUUCACUCCACCCAGCUGUGGAGACGAUAACCAGUUGUUGUGUGUCGGGGUGAGUACUCCUCCUUCUCUACAACAUCUUUGUGAGAUCUUCAUUCCAGGAGAGGGCACUCACCAGCUGCGGAGCAUUACCAAUCAGCGGCAGCGGCAGAUCCUCAGAUCAACCGCAGCAGAGCUCUAUUUAAGAAGAGAGGGAACUACUUCACAUCGCUGGAUGAUUAGCUACUCACGGAUACUUGGAAACGCUGAACCAUUGAUGGAAUAUACCUACCUGGAACUCACCAUAACCUGCCUGGACAACAACUCUCAUGGUUCGCCUCUCCUCCUGUUCCUCCUAUCCUCUGCCGCCAUCAUCUGGCUCCCUCUCCUGGACGCACCCCGUCACACCAUCUGCCCUCCCUACUGACUUCUGGACUCUUUCUGGCUUCAUUGAACUUGGAUAUCUCCAGGACACUUUUAGUUAGGUUUAAUAAAUCAUUGUUUGAACUUUC